UACAGAGAGUGCAAGCGUUAAUCGGAAUUACUGGGCGUAAAGCGCGCGUAGGUGGAUUAUUAAGUCGAGUGUGAAAUCCCUGAGCUUAACUUAGGAACUGCAUUCGAUACUAUUAGUCUAGAGUAUGGUAGAGGGAAGUGGAAUUUCCGGUGUAGCGGUGAAAUGCGUAGAUAUCGGAAGGAACACCAGUGGCGAAGGCGACUUCCUGGACCAAUACUGACACUGAGGUGCGAAAGCGUGGGUAGCAAACAGG
RNAcentral lists this ribosomal RNA (253 nucleotides) under uncultured bacterium. RNAcentral describes it as "partial 16S ribosomal RNA". It matches the Rfam family "Bacterial small subunit ribosomal RNA", at positions 524 to 776 of the family's 1533-position model. The record is from RNAcentral.